CCAUGGGCGCAAGUACCACAUAUGGUCUGUAUGUAGACCAGGUAAGUGCCAAAAAAAAUUUCUGCACUUUCCAUUCUCGGUAUUUUGGAAUUUUGUUACUUACUUUUCCCACAUCCAGUCCACAUGUACUACAUUCGGUCAGCAUGUAGACAUAGGUAAGUGCCAGAAGUUUUUCUUCAUAUCUUGCACUCUCUGGAUCUUUUAUUCUAGUACUUACCUUAAUCACAUAUCGACCAAAAGUGGUAUAUGUGAUCCAUAUGUGAAAAUAGGUAAGUGCUAAGCCUUCCAAUUCUUACAAAGAAGCUUUCGGACUUCAAGUUAUAACACAUGCUUUGGUCACGUACAUCUGGUAAGUGUCAUAAACGCCCAAAAAUGAUAAAGUAAGUAGCCAAAAAUUCUUUUUUUCAUAUUUUUCUUGAAAUUAGCAUUCAAAACCUAGUAUCCUAUAAAACAUACCCUAAACACAUCAUAUAUAAUAGACCAACCUAAGAAAUUUG
This 497-nucleotide long non-coding RNA is filed under the name Capsicum annuum. RNAcentral's name for it is "long non-coding RNA (CANN_LNC013745)". Lineage: Eukaryota; Viridiplantae; Streptophyta; Magnoliopsida; Solanales; Solanaceae. The record is from RNAcentral.